Molecule: long non-coding RNA, 319 nt
Filed under: Nicotiana benthamiana
Lineage: Eukaryota; Viridiplantae; Streptophyta; Magnoliopsida; Solanales; Solanaceae
Description: long non-coding RNA (NBEN_LNC021014)
Source: RNAcentral
CUCCUCCCUUUUCUGCUCACGCGUAGGGGUCGGGACCCCCACAAAGGGGGAGGGAGUCGACUGAACAUCUCAGCCAUUGGCGGGAAUUUCGCCCGCAUCCGAUCCCCAAUUCUUGUUCACCCCGGAUGAUCGUGUUGGGUGAAUUGUGACCUCGUACGAUCGUGUCGGGUGAGCAACAGCCGCUUCGUCACAGUACUUACUUAUGGGCUAACAGGUCACACUUUGGCCAAGUAUCCUACAAAGAGACUCCCGAGAGCCAGAAGUAUUAAAGGAAUGGCCAUAGGAAUGGGCGCAUCAUGACAUCGUAAGAUGUCUCGCC